GAGGGUAUAACUCAGUGGUUAGAGUGAGUGCUUAGCAUGCAUGAUGUCCUGGGUUCAAUCCCCAAUUCCUCCA
Molecule: transfer RNA, 73 nt
Filed under: Camelus bactrianus (Bactrian camel)
Lineage: Eukaryota; Metazoa; Chordata; Mammalia; Artiodactyla; Camelidae
Also listed under: 2 other names
Rfam family: tRNA
About the family: Transfer RNA (tRNA) molecules are approximately 80 nucleotides in length. Their secondary structure includes four short double-helical elements and three loops (D, anti-codon, and T loops). Further hydrogen bonds mediate the characteristic L-shaped molecular structure. tRNAs have two regions of fundamental functional importance: the anti-codon, which is responsible for specific mRNA codon recognition, and the 3' end, to which the tRNAs corresponding amino acid is attached (by aminoacyl-tRNA synthetases). tRNAs cope with the degeneracy of the genetic code in two manners: having more than one tRNA (with a specific anti-codon) for a particular amino acid; and 'wobble' base-pairing, i.e. permitting non-standard base-pairing at the 3rd anti-codon position.
Source: Rfam by way of RNAcentral